UUACGGAACAGAGGAGAGAUGCCGGCUGGAGGACACAGCAAAUUUGAACCAAGAGGAGCUUGGAGGAAGCCCGAGCGACCUGGAGGGGACUGGCUGACCUUCCUCAUUCUUUUCAAGUGUGAAUAAUAACCAAGCCCAGUUUGGCAACUCCUUGAGGGUGAGGACGAAGCCCCAUUCUCCUUUUUGGAACUUGGUGGGGCUCAGGAAGCAGGUUCUCUCCAGUCGGUGGCUUUCCUUUCUGUUGCGGGUCUCUUGAGGGCCUGCCUUCAUGAAGGCACAUGAGUGACUCAUCAUUUGUGAAUUAAUUGCUAUAUGUGAAGGGCAUCUGAGAACAAAUUAUCUUCAUAGACUUUUCAUUAUAAUU
This 364-nucleotide non-coding RNA is filed under the name Homo sapiens (human). The record is from RNAcentral. Lineage: Eukaryota; Metazoa; Chordata; Mammalia; Primates; Hominidae.